Hippocampus zosterae (dwarf seahorse) is the source of this 1546-nucleotide long non-coding RNA. RefSeq lists it as uncharacterized. The record is from RefSeq and is a predicted model, not a curated record. The transcript is spliced from 2 exons. NCBI's taxonomy places the organism in Eukaryota, Metazoa, Chordata, Actinopteri, Syngnathiformes, Syngnathidae.
GCGCUCCUUUGCGGAUUUUCGUUUAUCACGGGUGGUUUUGGUCCACAUUAACCGCGAUAAACGAGGGAUUACUGUAUUGAGACUGGCAGUAGCAGUUAAAAAGAACAUUGAAUAUGGUCAAAUUGACCCCAAGGUUAUUAGGAAGGUUAAGGAGGCUGUCUAUUUUUUUGAAUUAUUAAUCAGAUCAUAUUUGAUUAUUUUCAAAAGGAUUUUUUUUGCUGCAAUUUCACAUUUGUGCUCCCCAUGCAUGCAUUAAUUCUGUCAUCCGAUGGCUUCCCACAGGUGACCGUUUUGGCCCUUCAAGAUACAUAUGGAAAGAAAGUGCCCCGCCUCCCUCACCCCCAUAAUGACACAGUGACACAAAUGGUGCUGCCCACAGAAAACUGGCAUCAUUUUAUUACAUUACGAUCCAGUAAUCCAUAAAACAGUUCCCCCCAAAAAACCUGAGCCACGUUACUCUUAAGUACACAAAGCUUUGGUAUAUAAUUAGUCGGUUGUGUGCAUUUGCGUGGACACGAUGACAUGACACGAUUUGUUGGACUGUUUGACAAGCCCAUCACAGGCCACAAGCUGUAACAGACUAUUAGUGUGCUGUAAAUCACGGCCGUCCAUGCGGGUCAACCAACAUCUCUGCAUGGGCAGCUUUGCCAAAGUGCUGUCAACAGUCUCCCAACAUACGUACAUCAUAGAAUGAAUAACAGCUCUGCCACCUCGUCUCCAAGCAUGUAUUCACAAAUCUUUGCGAAAGUAGAAUUUGUCUGAUGAUGCUCGAGACCAAUUGUAUUUCUAAAUACACUAAAAGUAAUGAUGAACAUGUUCUUUGUGCUCGACCUAUCAGGAAAAUUCCAAUUGGAAACCAAUCUAUUGCAUUGAGAUAAUAAUCAUGAUCAAGGCAUGAUUGGCAUGAAGGCACGCCGCCUCCAUUUUGGAAAUGAAAUUCUACCAGCUUAGCCAUUUCCAUUGAGUCAGCACAGAGACGAGCGUGGCUCACUUUCAAUGUCAGCAGGCUGUUAGUUUAAAUGGAGUGUGCGAAUACAUUGAUAUUGUCAAGGCUAAAACUUUUUUUUUUUUUGGUGCCGUGUCCUACUUGCAACUACGUUAAAAAUUGAGAUGACAAGCAACAAAACAGCAGUUUAAAAAAACAAAAAAGCUUUGGGAUGAGCUGCGUAUCCAAAAAACAACUAUGAAUAAUAUAAAAGCCCUUCUAAUCCAAAUGUUAUAAAGACAAAUAUAAAGGACAAGAAAAAUUUCAUACAUACCACAUUAAAAGGUCAAUUAUUUAAAAUAUGAAUGCAACGCUUUACUUUUUGCUCCCAUUUUUUCAUGAGCUGUGAAAAGUCUAAGAUUAUUGCACAGGUGUGCCUCUGUUGGACCACAAUAAAAGGCCACUUAAAAAAAAAUGUGCGGUUAAGUUAGCGUUGGUGUCUGCUGAACAACAAAUUAUUAAAAAGUGUGUACUUGGUCAAUUUAAGAUGAGGGAGAAAAGGGGAUUUGUGGAACCUUGGCAGGAAUCAAAUGUUCCUGGCGCGCCUGUAAAGCGAUCAUU